GCGCAUACUAAGAAGAGGAGGAUGUUCGUGCUGAGGAGGUGAUAAGCACACCAAACAUCCGGCAUUUAGGGUAAUUUUUCCUGUUCCCGAGUCCCUCUCAUGUAUGCGUGGUGUUCCUGUACGUGGGUGUACAACAUGCACUUGUUCCCUGAAUCCCUCCUAUGAACAUCUGCAAAUUAAGUACUAUUUCUUUCUGUUAGUAAUUGGAGCAGUAGUAUCUGUUCCCUGAAUCCCUCUCAUGUAUGUGUGGUGUUCCUGUACGUGGGUAUGCAACAUGUGCUUAUUGCCUAAACCCCUCUCCUGUAUGUACGCAAAUGCCCCAAAAAUGUAUGUCUGCAAAUUAAGUAUUAUUUCUUUCAGUUUACAGUUUACAGUAGUAACUAUUUUGUUCCCUGAAUCUCUAUCAUGUAUGUUUGCAAAUUAAGUAUUAUUUCUUUAAUUUCGGUUUACAGUAGUAAUUGGAGCAGUAGUAUUUUUUUUGUUCCCUGAAUCUCUAACAAGUACGUUUGCAAAUUAAGUAUUUCUUUCAAUUUAUAAAGUACUAACUGGAGCAGUAGUAAAAUUUUUUAUCCAUGAAUCUUUGUCGUGUAUGUCUGCAAAUUAAGUAUUUCUUGCAUCUUACAAUAAUAAUUAGAAGAGAUUUAUAGAGUUAGGUAAUUUUAUUUGGUUACCAAAUGAGCAGGGUUCAUAAUUGGAACAUGGCGUGAUGAAGAAGAAACUAUGGUAACAUAUUCAAUUAAAUAAGACUUUUACAUGUUGCAGUUGCAAUGUUAUUCUGUUUAUUACUUCCAUGAUUUUUGUGCUUUUGAUUUGUUCAGUUCAAGGACAAGUCUAAUCGAGUCCAUCGUGACUGAAACCUAGAAGAUGAUGCCUAGAACAUUGAGGUGAAGAAAUGAAGAUGAUGCAUGGUUGUACAUGUACUUAAUUGAUGUUGUGUUAUGCCAUUUUGUGAGAACUUAAGAUUGAGAAAUGAUGUUAUGUUAUUGAUAUGUCACUAGAGGACAGAGAAUUGUGUACUCAUGUUUAUUUGAUGUUAUGUCAUUUGUAAGAAUCUGAGAGCUUAGUUGGUGAUGUGCACUUGUACUAUGCCAUCUUGUGAGAAUCUAAGAGCUUAUUUGAUGUCAUCCACUUGUGUUAUAUAUAAUAUGAAUGUUGUGAU
RNAcentral lists this long non-coding RNA (1159 nucleotides) under Triticum aestivum (bread wheat). RNAcentral's name for it is "long non-coding RNA (TAES_LNC023226)". The record is from RNAcentral. Lineage: Eukaryota; Viridiplantae; Streptophyta; Magnoliopsida; Poales; Poaceae.